This 28-nucleotide non-coding RNA is filed under the name Cricetulus griseus (Chinese hamster). Lineage: Eukaryota; Metazoa; Chordata; Mammalia; Rodentia; Cricetidae. The record is from RNAcentral.
CACGGAAGGUGAGCGUAGGUGGAGGUGA